This 24-nucleotide microRNA is filed under the name Medicago truncatula (barrel medic). RNAcentral describes it as "mtr-miR5281d". The record is from miRBase by way of RNAcentral. Lineage: Eukaryota; Viridiplantae; Streptophyta; Magnoliopsida; Fabales; Fabaceae.
UCUUAUAAAUAGGACCGGAGGGAG